GGGCAGCAGAGCCUGGAAUGUUCCCCAAGGUUUGCCUGGCACUGCAGGUGCUGCAGGAAUUUUACUUCCACAAAGCUCCAGCAGAGCAGGAGACAAAAGUGAGGGGUUUGGGGUGAGGUUUGUGCCUUGCACAAAGGGUCCAUUGGAGGCUGUUGAGGUCACUGGUGGGGCUUUGGGGGGAUUUCAGCUCAAACCUCAGUGAUUUAUUCUGCUGCCAUUCAGUUUUGAGGGUGCAGUUGUCACUUGAUGCCACUGUGUCCUCAAGGGAUUUACUGCAGGGCAGCAGCAGAGGAAAAGACAGUGUUGAAGUAAAUGGUGCUGGGUCCUCCCCCUUUUCUUUUAAUUGUCUUAAAUCCUAAUUAAACCCAUAUUUUAACAAAAAAAUCUGACUGUGGAGUACAGUUUAAUGCUGCUGGGUGCAUUUGGAUCCCAUGAUCUGGCAUGAUGAUAGCAGAAAACCCAACCAUUGACUCACUGCUCCUGCUGCUCCCAGGGCUUCAGGUGUCACAAACUGCACUGAAAACAGAGUCCCUGUAGCAGAAACAACCAGUGUAGACAUAACAUCAGGAAGCCUUGUUCAAACAAAAUCCUCUUGGAGUGACUGCAAUCAGAGUGAGAAAGGACAUGGGCCUGGUCUUUAUUUUUGAUCUCUUGCCUCUACAGUGAUUCAGGUUGGCUUGGAUAAUAAAAAUAAAUCCCUCCUCUUGCCAUAAAUCAGCAUAUUCUGGCUUUUAUCCCCAGGAUGAGCCUGUCUGUUCUACUGCCAGUGUCAUUCCCAGCUCUGUGUCCCAGUUCUGGGCUGGAUUAUCUUCAGGGACAGGCUGGUCCUUCUUAGGGCUCUCAGAAGACUGAGCAGAGCUUUGAGUCACCCCCUGUCUCUUCUCUGAGCAAACUCUCCUCCACGUGAGCAGAGCUGCAGGAGGGUUUGUGCCCUGGACAUUUGGCAUGUUUUGCCUAAAUUUACUGAAGUGUGGGGUGGGUGGGGCAGGUGAUGUCUUUGGUGCAGGAACUCCACCAGUGCUGUGUGUGCAUUCAUGCCCAGACCCCCCAAAUUCCCCCUCUGGUUCCCUUUCCAAAUCCUUCUCCACCUUCCCUCAGCCCCCAUCCCUUCCCAGCACUCAAUGCCUAGCUUGAAGAUUUUAUCCAUCUUUUCAUUCUUCUGCUAAGGGUACAACAAGCUGUAUUUUCCUCUUGGAAACUCAGUUUUGGGACACCAAGGAUGCUCAUUCCAAAUUUCUAUCUUGUGUGUUGGGAUAUACAAAUUUGGGGUUUGCUGUUGCCAAAAAAUUGGAAGCCAGGUGUAGAAGACUUCAGGUUCUUCCUCUCUGAGAAGGGUGUUUUUCCUUUGGCUUUUUUUUUUUUUUUUCCCUGUUGGAUGUAAUCUGUCUGAAGGCUUUAGAAAGAAUCCACAGGAGUUGCACAAUUUCAGCAAUUGGUGCAAUAAAUUAAAUAAAGAAGGUGUGUGGUUUUGAUAGGGAGGAAACAAGUAUGAGCAUAACAGCCCCAGUGGUAAACAGAGGACUUAAGGAGCUCAUGCAGAGAAAUCCAUAAAAAUAAAUUAAUUUCCAGACCAGGCUUGGAGUUGCAUCAAAUAUAAUUGAAAAAACUUCUCAGUUUUACUCCAUGGCUUUAUCAACAGGCUCCCCACUAAUGCUACAUUUCAGGAAUGCACAUUUCAAUACAGUUAAAUUCAAAACAGUGUGAAAAAUUAUUUGAAGUCCCACCAAAAUCACACAGGAUAUCUGAGGUUGGAGGGAAUCUCUGCUCAGAGUAGGAUUUACUAGAGCAGGUUCCUCAGGAAUAAUUGAGGUGCUGAUUUUAUUUAAUAAUUUAUUUCCUGAAUUGUGACUUCAGUUUUUCUAUUGUAUUUCUGAGGUUAAUGGGACACCAGGGAAAUUGUGUUUUAUCCUUUUCCUUUGGAGCUUCCAGGUCUGUGUCUUGCAGUUACAGUUCUGAUGAUUUUCAGGCUUUCUGCCUUGUUUUGAGAUGACAGCCACCCUGGCUCUGCAAUAAUACUGGAGAAUGAAUCACCAUGAAAAAAAAGCAGCAUAUUCCUGAUUUCUGAAUAUUUUGAGCCCAUCAACAAAGGCUUCAUUCCAAGUUUCAGAGAGCAGUGGGACCACCCCAAGAGCUGAGGGACAGCACCCACCCUGCUCCUGGGGCUGCUGGCCUCCUGCCUGCUGCAGAGCUGCUUCCAUCAGGGAAGUGGGGGUGGAAGAGCCCAGGGCUGCAUGGAGCAUCCUUCCCCAGCAGCUGUUGCAGAAAUGACCAGAAAGGAGAGUCAGUGCUCUCUGGGACUGCAGCAUCCAGAUUUUUCAGCACUGUGGGAAGCAGCCACUGGGAAACUCCUUAGCAGGAGCUGGAUGAAGGCUGGGAAUUCUUUGUCUCUAAUUCCAGAUUGGGAAGCCAUCAGCAAGGGAUGAAGCCUCACAUGCAACAUGAGAUUACCCAGAAAAACAAAAAUUCCCAGGGAAAAGGAGAAGAUGCUGAGGGAUGUGUAAACCACUCUGCAAGAUCAUCCCAGGAAAGGAACUAAAGGAGCCAGAAAUUAGGAGCUCCAUGGAAUGGUUAUGGGGAGAGGAUUCUGCUUUCCAGACUAAGUCCUCCCUGAUAUAAAUCUGUUCCAUUGGCUCUGAUUUUAUCAGAUGAGUGCAGCAGGAAAAGCACAAAAAGUGACAACAAAGCAGGGAGGAGGGGGACAUCAGGAAUCCUUGCUGUGUUGCCAAAUGAUGGAAAUAUGAAAGCUGCCAGAAAGAAC
Long non-coding RNA from Oenanthe melanoleuca, 2758 nucleotides. RefSeq lists it as uncharacterized. The record is from RefSeq and is a predicted model, not a curated record. The transcript has 9 exons. Lineage: Eukaryota; Metazoa; Chordata; Aves; Passeriformes; Muscicapidae.